UACGGAGGGGGCGAGCGUUAUUCGGAAUUAUUGGGCGUAAAGCGCACGUAGGCGGAUUCUUAAGUCAGGGGUGAAAUCCUGGAGCUCAACUCCAGAACUGCCUUUGAUACUGGGAAUCUCGAGUCCGGGAGAGGUGAGUGGAACUGCGAGUGUAGAGGUGAAAUUCGUAGAUAUUCGCAAGAACACCAGUGGCGAAGGCGGCUCACUGGCCCGGUACUGACGCUGAGGUGCGAAAGCGUGGGGAGCAAACAGG
This 253-nucleotide ribosomal RNA is filed under the name uncultured bacterium. RNAcentral's name for it is "partial 16S ribosomal RNA". It matches the Rfam family "Bacterial small subunit ribosomal RNA", at positions 524 to 776 of the family's 1533-position model. The record is from RNAcentral.